UAUCUCAGAGAUAUAGUAAUCCAAAACCAUAUGAUAUAGAUCCAGCUAUAAAACCUAUUAAUAAACCUUUCACAAAAAUGAUACCUCCAUCACAAAACCCCAUUGAGAUAGUAACACUAAAUCCAAAGACAGAAUUACAGGACAUGUCAAAAUUAUUACAAAAAAUAAUAAGUGAACAAAAUACGUCUCCAAACACUAGCACAACUGGAGGAAUAAAAAUAAAAGAACCUACACAAAGUAAGAUACCAAGUGAAAGUAUUAGCAAAGAUAAAAAUAAAAUAACCAUUCUAACCGAAUAU
This 299-nucleotide long non-coding RNA is filed under the name Manihot esculenta (cassava). Its description in RNAcentral is "long non-coding RNA (MESC_LNC003307)". The record is from RNAcentral. Lineage: Eukaryota; Viridiplantae; Streptophyta; Magnoliopsida; Malpighiales; Euphorbiaceae.